RNAcentral lists this ribosomal RNA (490 nucleotides) under uncultured bacterium. Its description in RNAcentral is "partial 16S ribosomal RNA". It matches the Rfam family "Bacterial small subunit ribosomal RNA", at positions 30 to 507 of the family's 1533-position model. The record is from RNAcentral.
AUUGAACGCUGGCGGCAGGCCUAACACAUGCAAGUCGAACGGUAACAGGAAGAAGCUUGCUUCUUUGCUGACGAGUGACGGACGGGUGAGUAAUGUCUGGGAAACUGCCUGAUGGAGGGGGAUAACUACUGGAAACGGUAGCUAAUACCGCAUAACGUCGCAAGACCAAAGAGGGGGACCUUCGGGCCUCUUGCCAUCGGAUGUGCCCAGAUGGGAUUAGCUAGUAGGUGGGGUAACGGCUCACCUAGGCGACGAUCCCUAGCUGGUCUGAGAGGAUGACCAGCCACACUGGAACUGAGACACGGUCCAGACUCCUACGGGAGGCAGCAGUGGGGAAUAUUGCACAAUGGGCGCAAGCCUGAUGCAGCCAUGCCGCGUGUAUGAAGAAGGCCUUCGGGUUGUAAAGUACUUUCAGCGGGGAGGAAGGGAGUAAAGUUAAUACCUUUGCUCAUUGACGUUACCCGCAGAAGAAGCACCGGCUAACUCCGUG